Non-coding RNA from Powellomyces hirtus, 72 nucleotides. NCBI's taxonomy places the organism in Eukaryota, Fungi, Chytridiomycota, Chytridiomycetes, Spizellomycetales, Powellomycetaceae. The record is from the annotation of a GenBank genome assembly.
GGUUCUAUGGUGUAGCGGUUAGCACUCAAGACUCUGAAUCUUGCGACCCGAGUUCGAUUCUCGGUAGGACCU